GACGAACGCUGGCGGCGUGCUUAACACAUGCAAGUCGAACGGAAAGGCCCUGCUUUUGUGCGGUGAUGGGGGGGCGGUCGGGGGAGUAAGAGGUGAGUAUCCUGAUCUUGUUUUUGGGAGGGCAUCAGGAAGGUGGGGCUACGAUCGUACAGCAGCUGCUGCUGCGUGGAGGGGAGUGGAAAUUUUGGGCGGGUGGGGAUGGAGGCGCGGGUGAUCAGCUUGUUGGUGGGGUGGGGGGAGGCCAAGGAUGUGGAGGGUAGGCGGCCUGUGAGGGUGACCAGCCACAUUGGGACUGAGAGACGGCCCAGUGUGCAACGGGAGGCAGCAGUGGGGAAUAUUGCACAAUGGGCGGAAGCCUGAGGAAGCAACGCCGGGGGUGGGAUGACGGUCUUCGGGUUAUAAACCGCUUUCGCCUGUGACGAAGCGGUAGUGACGGUAAUGGGUAAAGAAGCACCGGCUAACUACGUG
Molecule: ribosomal RNA, 468 nt
Filed under: uncultured bacterium
Lineage: Bacteria
Description: partial 16S ribosomal RNA
Rfam family: Bacterial small subunit ribosomal RNA
Source: RNAcentral